ACUUAAAUUGAAGAGUUUGAUCAUGGCUCAGAUUGAACGCUGGCGGCAGGCCUAACACAUGCAAGUCGAACGGUAGCACAGAGGAGCUUGCUCCUUGGGUGACGAGUGGCGGACGGGUGAGUAAUGUCUGGGAAACUGCCCGAUGGAGGGGGAUAACUACUGGAAACGGUAGCUAAUACCGCAUAA
RNAcentral lists this ribosomal RNA (186 nucleotides) under Citrobacter sp. L55. RNAcentral describes it as "partial 16S ribosomal RNA". It matches the Rfam family "Bacterial small subunit ribosomal RNA", at positions 1 to 176 of the family's 1533-position model. The record is from RNAcentral. Lineage: Bacteria; Pseudomonadati; Pseudomonadota; Gammaproteobacteria; Enterobacterales; Enterobacteriaceae.